GCCUACGGGGCGCAGCAGUAGGGAAUCUUCCAUAAUGGGCGAAAGCCUGAUGGAGCAACGCCGCGUGGGUGAAGAAGGUCUUCGGAUCGUAAAACCCUGUUGUUAGAGAAGAAAGUGCGUGAGAGUAACUGUUCACGUUUCGACGGUAUCUAACCAGAAAGCCACGGCUAACUACGUGCCAGCAGCCGCGGUAAUACGUAGGUGGCAAGCGUUAUCCGGAUUUAUUGGGCGUAAAGAGAACGCAGGCGGUCUUUUAAGUCUGAUGUGAAAGCCUUCGGCUUAACCGGAGUAGUGCAUUGGAAACU
This 305-nucleotide ribosomal RNA is filed under the name uncultured bacterium. Its description in RNAcentral is "bacterial SSU rRNA". It matches the Rfam family "Bacterial small subunit ribosomal RNA", at positions 337 to 634 of the family's 1533-position model. The record is from RNAcentral.